RNAcentral lists this long non-coding RNA (1577 nucleotides) under Dasypus novemcinctus (nine-banded armadillo). RNAcentral's name for it is "lncRNA (ENSDNOG00000049909.1)". Lineage: Eukaryota; Metazoa; Chordata; Mammalia; Cingulata; Dasypodidae. The record is from RNAcentral.
UGGGAAUGUUAACCUUCACUUCAAGGUGAGAGAAAAUAAAGCUGUAUUUUUUCCUCAUCCAAAUUCACAGACUCCCAGAAAUCUGUGCCCAGAGUCCCUGGACCCCAAGUUAAGAACAUGUGCUCAAGGAAUGGAAGGCAAACAGAGACACCUUACUUGCUGAUCACAGAGCAUGUGGAUCCAGCCUUCUGGAAGCUAAACGGUAUCCCAGGAAAUUUUACAAGAUACCCAGAAGUGGAUGGGGUUAAGGAUGUCCAGUUUCUGGUUCCCAGGACCUGAUCAGCUCAAAUGCUAAAUGAAGAGCUCAGAAAGAGGACCUAAGAAGGGGCUUUCUGAUGGGCAUCCAUGAAUCACUGGCAGCGUGUUUCGACAAGCCGGCCCAGGUCCUCCUUGCCAUCAGAUGAGUCAUCACCGUGGGGCAAGUGGAUGGUCGCUCAGGAAGAUCAGACUCCAGUCUCCCUCUCCUCUGCCUGGCCUUGGCCAACGAAAUAGCCUUCACCCACCUUCAUCUGGGCCCAUUGGGAGGCUCUUGACCCAAGUCUAUCAAAUUUAAACCAACAAAGAAGAUGGCAAAAGCCCUUCUUUCCAGGAGGUUGAGCUAUAGUUUGAGUAUUUUAACAGAGAUUCUCAAGAUAGGAUUGUCGUCGUGGCCAGCAUCCCCUGGAUCCCCAGUGGUGACUCGAUUUGCGGCAGGUAUGAGAAUUGCUGCGGUUGAUGACACGAUCUUGGAGAAGAGUAAGUUGGUCUUGCUCACCAUUGCACCUUCGAAGCUGACACAGGGACAUGCAGAGAGAAAAUGAAUCAGCAUUCAUGGCUAUCCUCCUAAUUAAGCAGGACUUUGGACUGUGACUAAUUCAGCCUAUUUCACACUCAACAAAUACCUCUUGAAUGCUUACCUUGGAACAAGCCUCUGAUGAUGACAAUGAUGAUGAUGAUGAUAAUGAUGUUAGUGCUAAUAAUUAUAAAAAAUAUAGUAUCCACAUGGUAAUUUGUAAAGUUCACUUACACCUACCCCCCUUGCUCCAUGACCUGAGGUUGGUAUCAUCAUUCCCACUGAACCAAAAAGGGAACCCAAGGUCCAGCAGUCAGUGAAGGCCACAAGACAGGGAGGGCCAGAGCUCGAGUGGGAACCAGAUCUUUGUUCCCCAAUCCCAUUCUCUUUCUUCUUAUGACUUUUCAGGGCACCCAAUCCUGGACAACUCUUGCUGGCCUCACUCAUACCUGGAUCAGUCCCACUGGAUGAGAAGUUGUGGGUUUUGAAGGCUUCUGUGGAGCAAGAUGAGGAGUUGAUCUCUCAACACCUCUCUAAGACAAUGUUUAUUAGAGAAUUUACUCAGAGAUGAAAAGACCAUAUGAGUUCCCUCUCAAAUCUGUCACUUAGUAGCUGUGUGACCCUAGGUCAGUGAUCUAAAGUUUCUGUGGCUUAAUAAUGCAUCUUUAAAGUACAAUUGUGAAUAUUGCAUGAAUGUAUUAUAAAGCACUUGGAACUGUACCCAUAUAUGUAUUAGCCAUAUGAACAGUCAUACUUUAUGUUCUUUGUUCCCCUAUGCCCUGUUAUUCUCACUAUCCUAGAACUC